RNAcentral lists this ribosomal RNA (619 nucleotides) under Burkholderia anthina. Its description in RNAcentral is "partial 23S ribosomal RNA". It matches the Rfam family "Bacterial large subunit ribosomal RNA", at positions 588 to 1209 of the family's 2925-position model. The record is from RNAcentral. Lineage: Bacteria; Pseudomonadati; Pseudomonadota; Betaproteobacteria; Burkholderiales; Burkholderiaceae.
AAGGGGUGACGGCGUACCUUUUGUAUAAUGGGUCAGCGACUUACGUUCAGUAGCAAGCUUAACCGUAUAGGGCAGGCGUAGCGAAAGCGAGUCCGAAUAGGGCGUUCAGUUGCUGGGCGUAGACCCGAAACCAAGUGAUCUAUCCAUGGCCAGGAUGAAGGUGCGGUAACACGUACUGGAGGUCCGAACCCACUAACGUUGAAAAGUUAGGGGAUGAGCUGUGGAUAGGGGUGAAAGGCUAAACAAACUUGGAAAUAGCUGGUUCUCUCCGAAAACUAUUUAGGUAGUGCCUCGUGUCUCACCUUCGGGGGUAGAGCACUGUCAUGGUUGGGGGGUCUAUUGCAGAUUACCCCGCCAUAGCAAACUCCGAAUACCGAAGAGUGCAAUCACGGGAGACAGACAUCGGGUGCUAACGUCCGGUGUCAAGAGGGAAACAACCCAGACCGCCAGCUAAGGUCCCCAAAUAUAGCUAAGUGGGAAACGAAGUGGGAAGGCUAAAACAGUCAGGAGGUUGGCUUAGAAGCAGCCACCCUUUAAAGAAAGCGUAAUAGCUCACUGAUCGAGUCGUCCUGCGCGGAAGAUGUAACGGGGCUAAGCUAUAUACCGAAGCUGCGGAUGC